AUGAGGUUUCUCUUUGUUUGUUCUUUUUUUCAGGGACCCAACGGACCAAAAGGAGGUGAAGGCGCCAGGGGCCCAACGGGACCAAAGGGUCCUCCGGGUCCAUCGGGUCCCCCCGGACCAAAGGGUACCAUGACUAAAGUCCUGAAGGGAGUCAAAGGAGAGCAAGGAGAUGUUGGACAGCCAGGCCCACCAGGAAACGACACUCGGCAGCAAAUAAAGCCGCCCUCUGGACCACCUGGAGAGAAAGGGCAAAAAGGACAAGAAGGAGAAGUGGUAUGUGACCUUCAGCAAACAUACGAUCAUGGGUCCACAUGCACAACUCAGCUGAUCUUCUGUGCGGUUUGUUUCAGGACAUCAUUACAGGAGAACCCGGCAUACCGGGACCACCGGGACCCAGGGGGGAAAUGGGUAGAAACGGGCAACCUGGACUAG
RNAcentral lists this long non-coding RNA (432 nucleotides) under Oryzias sinensis (Chinese medaka). RNAcentral's name for it is "lncRNA (ENSOSIG00000015739.1)". Lineage: Eukaryota; Metazoa; Chordata; Actinopteri; Beloniformes; Adrianichthyidae. The record is from RNAcentral.